This is a long non-coding RNA of Quercus robur (English oak), 3785 nucleotides long. RefSeq lists it as uncharacterized. The record is from RefSeq and is a predicted model, not a curated record. The transcript has 11 exons. NCBI's taxonomy places the organism in Eukaryota, Viridiplantae, Streptophyta, Magnoliopsida, Fagales, Fagaceae.
CCAUCUUCAACGCUUGGAGAUAUCUGGGUGUGUUAUUCUACCUACUGGGCUACAAUCAUGCACGUCUCUUACCCUACUAACGAUUCAGUUUUGUGAUAAAUUGAAAUCAACUCCAAAUCUAGGACUGUUGCAUUCUCUUACCCAAUUAAAAAUUAGGUAUUGUGAUAAUCUGAUAUCAAUACCUGGUUUAAGAGGAUUGCAUUCUCUUAUCGAAUUACAAAUUUGGUAGUCCUAAAUUGACGAGUCUCCCAGAGGGGUUAGAAUCUCUCACCCGCUUGAAGACUUUGGUGAUUGGCGAGUUUUGUAAGGAGCUGGAUGAUUUCCCGAGUCUCGUUUCUAUCGAACACUUGCACGCAUCCCUGCAACAUUUGGACUUGAAAGGGUGGCCUAAACUUAAGUCUAUUCCGGACAAUAUUUAAGUCUUGACUGCCCUUAAAAGUCUCUACAUAUCUGACUUUGAUGGCAUGGAAACUUUGCCUGAGUGGUUGACCAAGCUUUCUUCUCUUCAAACUCUGCGCAUCUUCAGUUGCUCCAAGUUAAAGGAAAGUUGUGCAAUUGGUGGAAAAGAGCGGUACAAAAUUGCCCAUAUUCCAAAUAUCAUGAUCUGGAUAUAAGUUUCUGAAGCAGUUUGAACAAGCGAAACGGAUGGUUUCAUACAAGACCUGCAUACUGUACUUAAGUGGAUCAUGGGUUAACAUUUUCUCUCCUCAAGAGGUCCAAUUCCCUUACUAAAGAGAUGUUCUCUGGUGUUAGCCAAGUGGAAGGUUUCUUAAACUGGUCAAGAAUUUUUUAGAAGUUAUUGCCAACGUGAUGCUCACUUUACAGCAAAAGUUGGAUAUUGCUUUAUUGUGGUUGCUGCCAAAGUAGCUAACAAUUGCACACAGUCUAGUAGUUGUGUCAAUUUGAUUCCUAUUUGAUUGGAGUUCAUUAAAAUUUUGAUGCAAGGACCUUACUUAUCUCCCUGAAGUGGAUUUCAUGCGUUUGAUCCCCAAAUUGCUAUAUGCCUAUCCAUUCAUAACUGUCUCAAAGUUAAAUAAAUAGAUGUGUUGAGGGCGACGACACAUCUUGGUCCAAAGAUGGGGAAUGGUUUAAAAAGAGGAAUCUGUUUUGAAGUUCACAUAUAUAUUAUCGCAACAGUAUGUGUGGUAUGUUUUCUUAAACUUAAUCCUCAUCUCUUCUCUGAUGCUUUACCAUAAAUCAACCGAUUCUAUUCAUAAUUGCCCUACUUUCUUCCUAUCUCAGUUUAGUUUCCCCCAAUCUUUUUCUUUGUUAAUGAACUAUAUUGUCUUGAUGUGCAUGUGCUAGUGACAACAUAUAUAUUGUAUUUUGCUGGAAGAACAAUUUGACUAAUUCAAUGGAGUUUAGUAGAAGUUUUUAAAGUUGGUAAGGUUUUCUUCUCUUCUCAUUUAUGAAGUAUUAUAUGAAUCCAACAAAUAUACUAUUCAUGCCAAAGAUCCCCUCUUCCCUAUCACUUUUCCUACAACAUAUACAAACCUGUUGCAUAGAAAAAGGAAAAGAAAAUUUUGUCAAUCCAAAAUAUUCUAUGAAUUUCUUUUGACAUGAUUAGUGUUGGUAGUAUUUUAUUAGUACAACUGGAGCAAGAACUUAAGAAAUUUAAUAUUACUUAUAUCCCAACAAUUGGGACCACCAUAUUGUAAUAAUACAAUACAAUUUAUGCUUGAAGGUAACUAAACUUGGCAAAUCAUCACUGUCCUCAUCUUUUUCCUUUGUUUUUUCUAUCUAAAUUGUUGACAUGUUUCGUCUCUCUUAUGAAUCUAGCAACAUCUUGUGUUCUUUAUUUAGCCAUUCAAUCAUUGAAAACCAAGGGGCAUAUACAUUAAGCUUUUGCAUUUGGAAACUUCAAAAGCUAGCUAAUUAAAUUGAGCACUAGAGAUUGUAAGUUCAUAUACGCAAAACAAAGUAAAGGAUUUAUUCAAAUUAUAGAGGGAAUUAUUGUUCUUUUCUUGAUUAUAGACUUUCUCAGUUUUCCAAGUGGGCCCUCUCAGGAUGGGUUCAACUUUUGAAGAACUUGAGGUUCUAUUCUCCUUCAAACUCUGGAAGCUUGACUAGUGUGUGAGCUCAAUUGAAUAAAUUCUUCAAGUUUUUGGAUAUUGAUCCCUGGCCACAUACAUUAACAACAAUAAUUGAGGAAUCUUUUGUGCUUGUUUCAUGUGCUACAACUAUGUUUUCAUAUCAGAUGGUUAUUCAGAAUAAUCACUACAUAUUAUAAUCCUUUGUGUAUAUAGUUGGGUAACAAUCCUUUUGCAUUUGUGGAAUUUAAAUUGUUUAAUCUAUUACUGAUGGCCCUAGUAUCCCAUUGUAGAUGAAAUGGGAAGAUUCUACUUAGGAACAGCGUAUAGCAAUUGUGAUUCCUCAUAGCUGAUGUAUGUGCUCCCAUACAAUGCCUAACCACAUUAUGGAAGCUAUUAGACAUUUGAUUGUCCAAGAUUUUCAUCAUUAAAAGGAAGGAUGUACCGAAGGUAAUGCCCCAGGUUUUCCAAGAUUGUCAUCUAAAGCAGAUAAACUGUUAUGUCACCCACCUAGAAGCAUCUUGAAGCUUAUGUGAUAUCAGAAAAAGCUAGUGGAAGACUUGAUUCUUGAAUUUCAACCAAGGUCCACUAAUGCAUGAACAGUGGAAAAUUGACAGCAAUGAGGAGCUUGAUGAUGCGUGCAUGUUAUAUGGAGUUCUUUAAGUGUACAAUAUAAGGAAGUUCGACUUGAAAUUCAAAACAAAUUGAACAAGUGGGUUAGCCUAUUUUUUCUUUUGAGAUCAAAUUAUAAUGAUCAACUGGAACCAUAACUUGUGUAUGUAUCUGCAAUUGUUGAUUGGGUAUAUUUAGUAUCACCAGCGACAAUGCAUCAAGCAUGGCCUAGGCUUUCCUUUGGUUUACACUUUAUGCCAUGGUUGCUUCCAUUUCCUAUCUAUAUAAUCAGAAAUAGCUCUUUUCUUUCUUGAAUAUAUUCAGUUUCUGACAAUUUGUCCCCUUUUCAAAUUUUAUGUUAUGGCUCCCUAACUUAAAGUUGCCGUAGUAGUGACUUCAACACUUUUAUAGAUUCUGAGAUUUGUGCAAGAAAUUGAAGAGUCCAAUAAGGAAGAACAACUUGAAACUCGAAUUUGAUGCAUUUUUGCCUGAGAUCAAGUUAUGGAUUUUGACUUUUGGCAGAAGAUAAAGUUCCCAAUAAAGAGGAGAAUGUUGAAAUUUGAAUAUGGGUUUUGCUUACUGCCCAAACAUAGAAUGGAUAGCUAAUGUAUUGCACUUGUUGAACAAGAUUCUAUGGUUGGUCCACAAUCCUUAAUUGGAUACUGAAGGAAUCCAUGGACUCAUCUCGUAGUUCCUACUAGUUGGCACCAGAAUGUUGACAACCAACAAUAUGUAAUGUGAGGCUUAGCUUUUACACCAUUUCCUAUCUAUAUACUAAGCAAUGGAUCCUUUUUACUAAACAGAAUUCGUAUUUAUUCAUCCACCUAUUGAAUCUUAUGUUGUUAUCAUGGCUUCAGCCAGCGACUUCAACAUUUUACUGUACAUUGAGUCUUCUCUUUUCAUCAGCCUAGCUGUCCUACUUAAGAGGCGAACUUGUUUGCUGUCAUACAAAUGUUUGGAGGAUAUUUCCCUACAGUUAGUAGUUAAAGUAAUGGACGUAUUUCUAUGUAAGUUGACUUAUAUUUGUUAUCAAUUAGUAACAUAUGGUUUAGACAUUAAUUGUACUAGUCGCUAACCCAUGCGAUGCACGGGAAAGCUACCAAUUUUUUUCCAAAUGAUGUGACAUUAGCUAUUGGAAUUCAA